CAGUCGCCGCGGUAAUACGCAGGUCCCGAGCGUUGUCCGGAUUUAUUGAGCGUAAAGCGAGCGCAGGCGGUUAGAUAAGUCUGAAGUUAAAGGCUGUGGCUUAACCAUAGUACGCUUUGGAAACUGUUUAACUUGAGUGCAGAAGGGGAGAGUGGAAUUCCAUGUGUAGCGGUGAAAUGCGUAGAUAUAUGGAGGAACACUGGUGGCGAAAGCGGCUCUCUGGUCUGUAACUGACGCUGAGGCUCGAAAGCGUGGGGAGCAAACAGGAUUAGAUACCCCGGUAGUCCCUGUCUCUUAUACA
This 301-nucleotide ribosomal RNA is filed under the name uncultured bacterium. RNAcentral describes it as "partial 16S ribosomal RNA". It matches the Rfam family "Bacterial small subunit ribosomal RNA", at positions 509 to 808 of the family's 1533-position model. The record is from RNAcentral.